GCUCCCGUAGCUCAGUGGAUAGAGCACUUGGCUUCGGACCAAGGGGUCGGGCGUUCGAAUCGCUCCGGGAGCACCA
RNAcentral lists this transfer RNA (76 nucleotides) under Candidatus Komeilibacteria bacterium. Its description in RNAcentral is "tRNA-Arg". It matches the Rfam family "tRNA". From Rfam's summary of the family: Transfer RNA (tRNA) molecules are approximately 80 nucleotides in length. Their secondary structure includes four short double-helical elements and three loops (D, anti-codon, and T loops). Lineage: Bacteria; Candidatus Komeiliibacteriota. The record is from RNAcentral.